AACUAUUACUAUGGUUCUACCUCAAGAUAUUGUAUCAAGGACACAGGUCAAAUACAGUCAAACGGCAGUUGGGGAAACUUGUCUUUUCUGGCAUAUUCCUACAACAGCUGUCUGGAUCCAGCUGCUCAGUUUCGGUUUCGUGAUAAUGGUGCCAUGUUGAAUCUAAAAAGACAGGGAUGUCUCGCUGCUUUUAAUAAGAGUGGUUCUGGUUAUGAUCUUGAUAUGUUUUAUCUUUACGUUGACUCAGUCAGUUUAGACACAGCUGCUUGUGCUCAGAAGCCUAACGAGAGCAUCUAUCGUGCUAUAACCCAGACUCCCGAGGGAGGAUUAUCUGUUUAUUAUAAAGGGAAAGAUAAGAGUUCAUUUCAAACCUGGUGUGCAUGGUAUAGAUAUAAUUCACAACUUUAUAGAAAUUAUGGGAUUGUCUACUACAUGGAAUUGUCGACACGAUGUCAUUCCAUCUAUUCUGAUCAGAAAUUCAUUUUCGGUAAGUUUUUGUUAAAUAUUUUCUAAUGCCGGUCUGAAGACGUUGCCUGGAGUUUUAUAUUAAAUAAAAGUGAAACAAUGCUAUAUUUUUUUUUUUCAUUCAAUCUGUUCAUUUGGCUCGAGUCGAUGAUUUCAAGUGAAUGCCCGGGGUACUGAUAAAACAGAACACAAGACAAGCGUACACUAUCGGAAAUUAACGAAUGUCUACGACGUAAUAGGCCUACCAGGCUUCCAGUUCGGUUCGGUUUCCGCAAAUUAACCGCAGAUAAUCCGAAAAAUAACCGUAAGAAAAAGAAGUCUGUGAGUUUGUGAGUUUGUUGUGAGUUCUAAGUCAUUGAGUUCGUCUGUGGAACUUGCAUAAUUUUUAAUUAAUUAAGUGCAUUACAUUGGAGUAGAAACUUGGUUUGUUGUCUAGAAACAAGUCCUUAGAAAGAAGAAACGCUUGCUUUACAAUGGUAUAAUCGGGUAGGGUGUUGAUGUGUACUAUAUGUAUUUCAUAGCUCUUUCAUGUCCAGACAAAAUCUGUUACUAUAAACUUACCAUAGCUUAGUUGAACAACGACUAAACUAUUGUAGCGGAGUUUGGGACACUCUGUCUGAUGGCCUAUCCCAAAAAUUGCAAAAAUUGCAAAACAGGGCAGCCAGAAUCAUCACAAAGAGCGCGUAUGACGCUUCAUCUAGUGAAUUACUUGUUGAACUUAGGUGGCGUGCACUUGCUCAUGAGCGAAGAACUAAAAAAGCUAUCAUGAUGUACAAAGUGCUUAACAACUUGGCUCCUGAGUAUUUAAAAGAUUUGUUUCGCGAAACCAAUCAAGUACAUGAUAAUGAUUUGCGAAACUCUGAUUUAAAUUAAAUCUUUUACCUCCAAAACCAAAGAAUAAUCUUCUCAAAAAGAGUUUUUCAUACAGCGGAGCUGUAAUCUGGAAUUCUCUUCCAAGACAUGUUCGCUUGGCUAAUUCGCUAACAGAAUUUAAGAGGUCGCUAAAAUUUAGUGUGUAACUCUCCAAUAACGUAUAGCCUAUACAGUAUGAUAUUAUAUUAUAGUUUUAUAUUAAUUUUUCAUGUCAUUAGUUUUGUAACUUUAUUUAUGUAUAUAUAGUUAAUGCACGUCACUCUGGAAGAGCACUUUUGUGAAUGAGUUUUUACGUGGGUAAAUAAAGAUUUCUAUUCUAUUCUAUAGUCUUUUGAGCAUGGGCGUACCGGGCGGGGGGGGGGAGGCGAGGGGGGUGGCAGUCCCCCCAGUUUGUUGGGCAAACAAAGCCAGUCGGGCAAUAUUCGCUUCACAGUCGAGCAAUAUUGGCUUAUUAUAAAAAUAAAUGGGACAAAUUCUGUCAAUUUUGUGGGAAAUAUGCUAUCUAACAUGAAUUUUUGAAAGUUUCUCCGGAAAAUUUUUUUUGACGACUCGGGCACAAUCCGAAAAAGUCGGGCAAAUUUUUUUCCGCCCCCCCCCCCUAAAUUUUUCCUUCUCGUAUGCCCAUGCUUUUGAGAAUAGCAAUCAGUAGUGGGAAUUUUCCAAUUUUCCCAAUCCGAUAGAUAUAGGACACCUAUAUAUGGAACGAACGCGAGCUCCAGCCCGAUUUCCAGCCCGAAUUUGACUGGUUACAUAAAGGCUAUAUAGGCUAAUAAGGUGCAUAAUAGCGACAUAAGUGCAGAUUUUACGGUUAGAUUGUCAGAUAUUAUGUCCAGGUCAACUAUUAUGUCCUUGACAGCACUUAAAGAGAUAAAGAUAACUUUUGUCAAAAAUAUUAUAAAAUAGAAACGUCUGUUCUAUUAAAGGUUCAGUGACAUGUCAUGGUGAUAAAGUGAAGAAUGCCAACUGUCCUAAAGAUCAAUACAUGGUGGUCAAGUUUGCAACUUAUCGUGGAUUGCUUGCACCAAAGACAUGUGGUUUAAGUGAUGAUUAUAGUUAUGAAGUUGAUGUAACAUGUCUUGUUAAGAAACAAUGUGAUGGUCUACAUGAGUGUAAUAUAACUGUGGAUGACAAUUUGUUCUCUGGUGAUCUAUGUCCUGGAUUGUCAAACUAUCUUUACUUUGAAUAUCAAUGUGUUGAUACUGUGAAACCUUUCAAAGAACUUUGUGGUAACUUGAUGGUCACAAUUUAUAGUUUCAAUCGACUUCUCUUAAGAGUUGUGCCCAAGACAGUUUGCCAUGUGUUUAAAAAUGUUCAACCUUGAUUUUGCACACACUUGUCAUGUGCAUGUUACUCACAUAUCAGAAAUAUUUAUUAUAGCCUUACAUGGCAAAAUAAUCGAUAACCUUGUUCUUUUCGCGGUGUUUUUGUAGUUCAUGACGUGUCUCUAUCACAUUCAACUCUGCCUUACGAAGGUGUUGUACAAAUUACCAUUGAUGGUGCGACCAAGAAUGUUUGUUGGCAAAGUUCAAAUCA
RNAcentral lists this long non-coding RNA (2871 nucleotides) under Paramuricea clavata. The record is from RNAcentral. Lineage: Eukaryota; Metazoa; Cnidaria; Anthozoa; Malacalcyonacea; Plexauridae.